AUUGAACGCUGGCGGCAGGCCUAACACAUGCAAGUCGAGCGGAUGAAGGGAGCUUGCUCCUGGAUUCAGCGGCGGACGGGUGAGUAAUGCCUAGGAAUCUGCCUGGUAGUGGGGGAUAACGUCCGGAAACGGGCGCUAAUACCGCAUACGUCCUGAGGGAGAAAGUGGGGGAUCUUCGGACCUCACGCUAUCAGAUGAGCCUAGGUCGGAUUAGCUAGUUGGUGGGGUAAAGGCCUACCAAGGCGACGAUCCGUAACUGGUCUGAGAGGAUGAUCAGUCACACUGGAAGUGAGACACGGUCCAGACUCCUACGGGAGGCAGCAGUGGGGAAUAUUGGACAAUGGGCGAAAGCCUGAUCCAGCCAUGCCGCGUGUGUGAAGAAGGUCUUCGGAUUGUAAAGCACUUUAAGUUGGGAGGAAGGGCAGUAAGUUAAUACCUUGCUGUUUUGACGUUACCAACAGAAUAAGCACCGGCUAACUUCGUG
RNAcentral lists this ribosomal RNA (484 nucleotides) under uncultured bacterium. Its description in RNAcentral is "partial 16S ribosomal RNA". It matches the Rfam family "Bacterial small subunit ribosomal RNA", at positions 30 to 507 of the family's 1533-position model. The record is from RNAcentral.